GAUGGGCUCGCGGCCUAUCAGCUUGUUGGUGAGGUAAUGGCUCACCAAGGCGUCGACGGGUAGCCGGCCUGAGAGGGUGACCGGCCACACUGGGACUGAGACACGGCCCAGACUCCUACGGGAGGCAGCAGUGGGGAAUAUUGCACAAUGGGCGAAAGCCUGAUGCAGCAACGCCGCGUGAGGGAUGACGGCCUUCGGGUUGUAAACCUCUUUUAGCAGGGAAGAAGCGAAAGUGACGGUACCUGCAGAAAAAGCGCCGGCUAACUACGUGCCAGCAGCCGCGGUAAUACGUAGGGCGCAAGCGUUAUCCGGAAUUAUUGGGCGUAAAGAGCUCGUAGGCGGUUUGUCGCGUCUGCUGUGAAAUCCGGAGGCUCAACCUCCGGCCUGCAGUGGGUACGGGCAGACUAGAGUGCGGUAGGGGAGAUUGGAAUUCCUGGUGUAGCGGUGGAAUGCGCAGAUAUCAGGAGGAACACCGAUGGCGAAGGCAGAUCUCUGGGCCGUAACUGACGCUGAGGAGCGAAAGGGUGGGGAGCAAACAGGCUUAGAUACCCUGGUAGUCCACCCCGUAAACGUUGGGAACUAGUUGUGGGGUCCAUUCCACGGAUUCCGUGACGCAGCUAACGCAUUAAGUUCCCCGCCUGGGGAGUACGGCCGCAAGGCUAAAACUCAAAGGAAUUGACGGGGACCCGCACAAGCGGCGGAGCAUGCGGAUUAAUUCGAUGCAACGCGAAGAACCUUACCAAGGCUUGACAUAUACGAGAACGGGCCAGAAAUGGUCAACUCUUUGGACACUCGUAAACAGGUGGUGCAUGGUUGUCGUCAGCUCGUGUCGUGAGAUGUUGGGUUAAGUCCCGCAACGAGCGCAACCCUCGUUCUAUGUUGCCAGCACGUAAUGGUGGGAACUCAUGGGAUACUGCCGGGGUCAACUCGGAGGAAGGUGGGGAUGACGUCAAAUCAUCAUGCCCCUUAUGUCUUGGGCUUCACGCAUGCUACAAUGGCCGGUACAAAGGGCUGCAAUACCGCGAGGUGGAGCGAAUCCCAAAAAGCCGGUCCCAGUUCGGAUUGAGGUCUGCAACUCGACCUCAUGAAGUCGGAGUCGCUAGUAAUCGCAGAUCAGCAACGCUGCGGUGAAUACGUUCCCGGGUCUUG
This 1149-nucleotide ribosomal RNA is filed under the name Microbacterium hydrocarbonoxydans. RNAcentral describes it as "bacterial SSU rRNA". It matches the Rfam family "Bacterial small subunit ribosomal RNA", at positions 224 to 1383 of the family's 1533-position model. The record is from RNAcentral. Lineage: Bacteria; Bacillati; Actinomycetota; Actinomycetes; Micrococcales; Microbacteriaceae.